ACUGAAAACAACUUGAAAAUAAAUAAUCUUAAAACAUGUCUGGAAUCUCUGUGAUCUCCACAGGCCAAUCUGGAGAAGACGUGCCGCACUCUGGAAGACCAGCUGAGUGAGCUUAAGACAAAGGAAGAGGAGCAUCAGCGCAUGAUCAAUGACCUCAAUGCUCAAAGAGCUCGUUUGCAGACAGAGUCGGGUGAAUAUUCCCGUCAAGUUGAGGAGAAAGAUGCUCUGAUUUCUCAGCUGUCAAGAGGCAAACAGGCAUUCACCCAACAGAUUGAGGAACUCAAGAGACACUUAGAGGAGGAGAUAAAGGCCAAGAACGCCCUGGCCCACGCCUUGCAGUCUGCUCGCCACGACUGUGACUUGCUGCGGGAGCAAUAUGAGGAGGAGCAGGAAGCCAAGGGGGAGCUGCAGCGCGCCCUGUCCAAGGCCAACAGCGAAGUGGCCCAGUGGAGAACCAAAUACGAGACGGACGCCAUUCAGCGCACGGAGGAGCUGGAGGAGGCCAAGAAGAAGCUGGCACAGAGACUGCAGGAAGCAGAGGAACAUGUUGAAGCCGUCAAUGCCAAAUGUGCCUCCCUGGAAAAGACAAAGCAGAGGCUGCAGAAUGAAGUGGAGGACCUGAUGAUUGAUGUGGAAAGAGCAAAUGCUGCCUGUGCUGCUCUGGAUAAGAAGCAGAAGAACUUUGACAAGAUCCUGGCAGAAUGGAAGCAGAAGUACGAGGAAACGCAGGCUGAGCUGGAAGCCUCUCAGAAGGAGUCUCGCUCGCUCAGCACGGAGCUAUUUAAGAUGAAGAACGCCUAUGAGGAGUCCUUGGACCACCUGGAAACGCUGAAGCGUGAGAACAAGAACUUGCAGCAGGAGAUUUCCGACCUCACGGAGCAGAUUGCAGAGGGAGGAAAGGCGAUCCAUGAGCUGGAGAAAGUCAAGAAGCAGAUUGAGCAGGAGAAAUCUGAAAUCCAGGCUGCUUUGGAGGAAGCUGAGGCCUCCCUUGAACAUGAAGAGGGGAAGAUCCUGCGCCUGCAGCUUGAGCUCAACCAGGUGAAGUCAGAGAUUGACAGGAAGAUAGCAGAGAAAGAUGAGGAGAUCGACCAGAUGAAGAGAAACCACCUCAGGAUUGUGGAGUCCAUGCAGAGCACCCUGGACGCUGAGAUCAGGAGCAGGAACGAAGCCCUGCGGCUGAAGAAGAAGAUGGAGGGAGACCUGAAUGAAAUGGAGAUCCAGCUGAGCCAUGCCAACCGCGUGGCUGCUGAGGCCCAGAAGAACCUGAGGAACACACAGGCUGUGCUGAAGGAUACCCAGAUACACUUGGAUGAUGCUCUCAGGACUCAGGAGGACCUGAAGGAGCAGGUGGCCAUGGUGGAGCGCAGAGCAAACCUGCUGCAGGCUGAAAUUGAGGAGCUACGGGCAGCGCUGGAGCAGACGGAGCGUUCAAGGAAAGUGGCUGAGCAGGAACUGAUGGAUGCCACUGAGCGUGUGCAGCUGCUCCAUACACAGAACACCAGCUUGAUCAAUACCAAGAAGAAGCUGGAAACAGACAUCACACAAAUUCAGAGUGAAAUGGAGGACACAAUCCAGGAAGCCCGCAAUGCUGAAGAGAAGGCCAAGAAGGCCAUCACAGAUGCAGCCAUGAUGGCAGAGGAGCUGAAGAAGGAGCAGGACACCAGCGCCCACCUAGAGAGGAUGAAGCCCCAGAGGGGGAAGGCCCUGCAGCACCGUCUGGAUGAGGCUGAGCAGUUGGCCCUGAAGGGAGGCAAGAAGCAAAUCCAGAAGCUGGAGGCCAGAGUGCGGGAGCUGGAAGGGGAGGUCGACGCUGAGCAGAAGCGCAGCGCUGAGGCCGUGAAGGGUGUGCGCAAGUACGAGAGGAGGGUAAAGGAGCUGACCUACCAGUCUGAGGAAGACCGGAAGAAUAUUCUCCGGCUGCAGGAUCUGGUGGACAAGCUGCAAACGAAGGUGAAAUCCUACAAGAGACAAGCUGAGGAGGCUGAGGAGCUGUCCAAUGUCAAUCUCACAAAGUUCCGCAAGAUCCAGCACGAGCUGGAGGAAGCCGAGGAGCGCGCUGACAUUGCGGAGUCGCAGGUCAACAAGCUCCGAGCUAAGAGCCGGGAGUUUCAUGGCAAGAAGAUCGAAGAGGAAGAGUGAGGAUGUCAUGAGGCAACAAAGUGACCUGAGGGCUGCACAAAAUGUGAACCUCUUGGUCACUUCUGUAAUUAGUCUUUGUAACCUUGUCAAUGUCUAGUGAAUAAAGAUUGUAGAUUCCGUUGCA
Apaloderma vittatum (bar-tailed trogon) is the source of this 2263-nucleotide RNA transcript. It is a transcript of the gene named myosin heavy chain, skeletal muscle, adult-like, with no coding region annotated. The transcript has 14 exons. NCBI's taxonomy places the organism in Eukaryota, Metazoa, Chordata, Aves, Trogoniformes, Trogonidae. The record is from RefSeq and is a predicted model, not a curated record.